GGUGUGCCUAAUACAUGCAAGUCGUACGCACUGGCCCAACUGAUUGAUGGUGCUUGCACCUGAUUGACGUUGGAUCACCAGUGAGUGGCGGACGGGUGAGUAACACGUAGGUAACCUGCCCCGGAGCGGGGGAUAACAUUUGGAAACAGAUGCUAAUACCGCAUAACAACAAAAGCCACAUGGCUUUUGUUUGAAAGAUGGCUUUAGCUAUCACUCUGGGAUGGACCUGCGGUGCAUUAGCUAGUUGGUAAGGUAACGGCUUACCAAGGCGAUGAUGCAUAGCCGAGUUGAGAGACUGAUCGGCCACAAUGGAACUGAGACACGGUCCAUACUCCUACGGGAGGCAGCAGUAGGGAAUCUUCCACAAUGGGCGCAAGCCUGAUGGAGCAACACCGCGUGAGUGAAGAAGGGUUUCGGCUCGUAAAGCUCUGUUGUUGGAGAAGAACGUGCGUGAGAGUAACUGUUCGCGCAGUGACGGUAUCCAACCAGAAAGUCACGGCUAACUACGUGCCAGCAGCCGCGGUAAUACGUAGGUGGCAAGCGUUAUCCGGAUUUAUUGGGCGUAAAGCGAGCGCAGGCGGUUGCUUAGGUCUGAUGUGAAAGCCUUCGGCUUAACCGAAGAAGUGCAUCGGAAACCGGGCAACUUGAGUGCAGAAGAGGACAGUGGAACUCCAUGUGUAGCGGUGGAAUGCGUAGAUAUAUGGAAGAACACCAGUGGCGAAGGCGGCUGUCUUGGUCUGCAACUGACGCUGAGGCUC
RNAcentral lists this ribosomal RNA (758 nucleotides) under uncultured Lactobacillus sp. RNAcentral describes it as "bacterial SSU rRNA". It matches the Rfam family "Bacterial small subunit ribosomal RNA", at positions 41 to 754 of the family's 1533-position model. The record is from RNAcentral. Lineage: Bacteria; Bacillati; Bacillota; Bacilli; Lactobacillales; Lactobacillaceae.